CAUGAGUUCUGCCGCCGCGUGCAGCGCUCUGGGGGCCACGGCUGCAUGCUCCCGUGGGGAAGGGGUUGGCUCUGCGGGGAGGCAGUUACCUCCCCCUUCUCCUGGAGCCAUGCUGCCCCGUGUGCAGUGCUCUGGGGGCCAGGGCUGCGCGCGGUCCUGCGGGGCAGCGUUUGGCUCUGCGGGGAGGCAGACACCCUCCUCCCUCCCCUGAGCCCUGCCGCCGCGUGUGCAGUGCUCUGGGGGCCGGGGCUGCGCGUGCUCCCGCGGGACAGUGUUUCGCUCCGCGGGGAGGCUAGGAGCCUCAUCUCCUAUGGCCUAUGGUCAAGCCACGAAGACAGAGCACCCUGAGUUUCAGAGAAAAAGAGGAGGCAGCAGGCAGCACAAAGAGCAACAGAAGGGGGCCUCAGAGGUGUCCUAGUGGGAAAACUUAAGUCAAAGGGCUGAGAUCUCCAGUUCUUCCUGGAUCACCCUGAAUAUGGACAUUGGAUGAUAACCUCUGGACAAAUUCUAAAAGAACUCUUUGCAACUACAAAGCUCACCAUCUCUACUAUGAAUCUGAUCUCAGAACUGUACUCAUGUCUGUAUGUAUAUUGAUCUUUUAACCAAUAAUCUCUCUCUCUUUUUUCUUUUUUAAUAAAUUUUAGUUUAGAUAAUAAGGAUUGGGGGUAAGCCUGUAUUUGAGUAAGAUCUGAAAUAUUCAUUAACCUGGGAGGUAAUAUGCCCGAUCCUUUGGGAUUGGUAGAAUGUUUUUAUAUGAUGAAUAAGAUUUUCAGUAAUCCUUAUCAUGUUUGACUUGGAUGUCUGGGUGGAGGCCCAAGGCUGGGUUACAUUAAGGGAACUGUGUUGUUGGCUUCUGUGUAACCAGGAAGGUGUUAUAGAAGCUGUUUUGUGGUGGCUUGGUAAAUCUAAGUAUUGGAAUAUCCACCUUCUUUGGGGAUUGUCUGCCCCAUUCUUUGCAGUUCACCCUAAUUGAGUAACCUCAGUGAGGUUCCCCAGGACUCCGGACACACAUGCAUAGGUGCUGACUUCCCCUCUGCCCGGUGGGUGCUUACCUGCCCCUGGCCCCGCCUC
Non-coding RNA from Chrysemys picta bellii (western painted turtle), 1071 nucleotides. The record is from RefSeq and is a predicted model, not a curated record. NCBI's taxonomy places the organism in Eukaryota, Metazoa, Chordata, Testudines, Emydidae.